Molecule: ribosomal RNA, 459 nt
Filed under: uncultured bacterium
Lineage: Bacteria
Description: partial 16S ribosomal RNA
Rfam family: Bacterial small subunit ribosomal RNA
Source: RNAcentral
CCUACGGGAGGCAGCAGUGAGGAAUAUUGGUCAAUGGCCGGAAGGCUGAACCAGCCAAGCCGCGUGAAGGACGACUGUGCCAAGCAUUGUCAACUUCUUUUGUCAAGGGACAAAAUCAGGCUCGAGUGCCUGAUCGCGUGUACUUUAUGAAAAAGCAUCGGCUAACUCCGUGCCAGCAGCCGCGUUAAUACGGAGGAUGCGAGCGUUAACCGGUGUUAUUGGGUUUAAGGGUUGCGUAGUGGGGCUGUUAAGUCAGCGGUAAAAGCUCGGGGCUCAACCCCGGAGAGCCGUUGAGACUGGCUGUCUUGAGAUGACGAGAGGUAUGCGGAAUGCGCAGUGUAGCGGUGAAAUGCUUAGAUAUCACGCAGAACUCCGAUUGCGAAGGCAGCAUACCGGCGCUCAACUGACGCUGAGGCACGAAAGCGUGGGGAUCGAACAGGAUUAGAUACCCUGGUAGUC